This 253-nucleotide ribosomal RNA is filed under the name uncultured prokaryote. Its description in RNAcentral is "partial 16S ribosomal RNA". It matches the Rfam family "Bacterial small subunit ribosomal RNA", at positions 525 to 777 of the family's 1533-position model. The record is from RNAcentral.
ACGGAGAGUGCAAACGUUGUUCGGAUUCACUGGGCGUAAAGGGCACGUAGGCGGCUCGGCAAAUCGGUCGUGGAAUCCCGACGCUUACCGUCGGAACGGCGGCCGAAAAUACCGGGCUCGAGGGCGUGAGGGGUCACUGGAACUCCUGGUGAAGCGGUGAAAUGCGUAGAUAUCUGGAGGAACACCGGUGGCGAAGGCGGCAUCCUGGACCAAUACUGACGCUGAGGAGCGAAAGCCAGGGGAGCAAACGGGA